GACGAACGCUGGCGGCGUGCUUAACACAUGCAAGUCGAACGGAAAGGCCCUGCUGUUGUGGGGUGCUCGAGUGGCGAACGGGUGAGUAACACGUGAGUAACCUGCCCUUGACUUUGGGAUAACUUCAGGAAACUGAGGCUAAUACCGGAUAGGAGCUCCUGCUGCAUGGUGGGGGUUGGAAAGUUUCGGCGGUUGGGGAUGGACUCGCGGCUGAUCAGCUUGUUGGUGGGGUAGUGGCUUACCAAGGAUUUGACGGGUCGCCGGCCUGAGAGGGUGACCGGGCCCAUGGCGCCUGCGAUACGGCCCAGUGUCCUACGUGAGGCAGCAGUGGGGAAUAUUGCACAAUGGGCGGAAGCCUGAUGCAGCAACGCCGCGUGCGUGAUGCCGGCCUUCGGGUUGUAAACCGCUUUCGCCUGUGACGAAGCGUGAGUGACGGUAAUGGGUAAAGAAGCACCGGCUAACUACGUG
This 468-nucleotide ribosomal RNA is filed under the name uncultured bacterium. RNAcentral describes it as "partial 16S ribosomal RNA". It matches the Rfam family "Bacterial small subunit ribosomal RNA", at positions 28 to 507 of the family's 1533-position model. The record is from RNAcentral.